CGUGUAGGUGGUUUGGUAAGUUGGAUGUGAAAGCUCCCGGCUCAACUGGGAGAUGUCGUUCAAAACUACCAGACUCGAGGACAGUAGAGGGGGGUGGAAUUCCCGGUGUAGUGGUGAAAUGCGUAGAUAUCGGGAGGAACACCAGUGGCGAAAGCGGCCCCCUGGGCUGUUCCUGACACUCAGACGCGAAAGCGUGGGUAGCGAACG
This 207-nucleotide ribosomal RNA is filed under the name uncultured bacterium. RNAcentral describes it as "partial 16S ribosomal RNA". It matches the Rfam family "Bacterial small subunit ribosomal RNA", at positions 568 to 774 of the family's 1533-position model. The record is from RNAcentral.